RNAcentral lists this ribosomal RNA (253 nucleotides) under uncultured bacterium. Its description in RNAcentral is "partial 16S ribosomal RNA". It matches the Rfam family "Bacterial small subunit ribosomal RNA", at positions 524 to 776 of the family's 1533-position model. The record is from RNAcentral.
UACGUAGGGGGCAAGCGUUGUCCGGAAUCAUUGGGCGUAAAGAGCGUGUAGGCGGCCCGGUAAGUCCGCUGUGAAAGUCCAGGGCUCAACCCUGGGAUGCCGGUGGAUACUGUCGGGCUCGAGUCCGGAAGAGGAGUGUGGAAUUCCUGGUGUAGCGGUGAAAUGCGCAGAUAUCGGGAGGAACACCAAUUGCGAAGGCAGCUCGCUGGGACGUCACUGACGCUGAGACGCGAAAGCGUGGGGAGCAAACAGG